This 466-nucleotide ribosomal RNA is filed under the name uncultured bacterium. RNAcentral describes it as "bacterial SSU rRNA". It matches the Rfam family "Bacterial small subunit ribosomal RNA", at positions 335 to 803 of the family's 1533-position model. The record is from RNAcentral.
ACUCCUACGGGAGGCAGCAGUGAGGAAUAUUGGUCAAUGGGUGCAAGCCUGAACCAGCCAUCCCGCGUGAAGGACGACUGCCCUAUGGGUUGUAAACUUCUUUUGUAUAGGGAUAAACCUACCCUCGUGAGGGUAGCUGAAGGUACUAUACGAAUAAGCACCGGCUAACUCCGUGCCAGCAGCCGCGGUAAUACGGAGGGUGCAAGCGUUAUCCGGAUUUAUGGGUUUAAAGGGUCCGUAGGCGGACUUAUAAGUCAGUGGUGAAAGCCUGUCGCUUAACGAUAGAACUGCCAUUGAUACUGUAAGUCUUGAGUAUAUUUGAGGUAGCUGGAAUAAGUAGUGUAGCGGUGAAAUGCAUAGAUAUUACUUAGAACACCAAUUGCGAAGGCAGGUUACCAAGAUAUAACUGACGCUGAGGGACGAAAGCGUGGGAGCGAACAGGAUUAGAUACCCUGGUAGCGACUGA